RNAcentral lists this ribosomal RNA (268 nucleotides) under uncultured bacterium. RNAcentral's name for it is "partial 16S ribosomal RNA". It matches the Rfam family "Bacterial small subunit ribosomal RNA", at positions 793 to 1055 of the family's 1533-position model. The record is from RNAcentral.
GUCAACGCCGUAAACGAUGUGUGCUUGACGUUGGCGGGUUUACCCGCCGGUGUCGCAGCUAACGCGAUAAGCACACCGCCUGGGGAGUACGGCCGCAAGGUUAAAACUCAAAGGAAUUGACGGGGGCCGCACAAGCGGUGGAGCAUGUGGUUUAAUUCGACGCAACGCGAAGAACCUUACCAGCCCUUCGACAUGGGGAGGUAUGGGUUGGCCGAGAGGUGAUCCUUCAGUUCGGCUGGCUCCCACACAGGUGCUGCAUGGCUGUCGU